ACGGGUGAGUAAUGCCUAGGAAUCUGCCUAGUAGUGGGGGACAACGUUUCGAAAGGAACGCUAAUACCGCAUACGUCCUACGGGAGAAAGUGGGGGAUCUUCGGACCUCACGCUAUUAGAUGAGCCUAGGUCGGAUUAGCUAGUUGGUAGGGUAAAGGCCUACCAAGGCGACGAUCCGUAACUGGUCUGAGAGGAUGAUCAGUCACACUGGAACUGAGACACGGUCCAGACUCCUACGGGAGGCAGCAGUGGGGAAUAUUGGACAAUGGGCGAAAGCCUGAUCCAGCCAUGCCGCGUGUGUGAAGAAGGCCUUCGGGUCGUAAAGCACUUUAAGUUGGGAGGAAGGGCUUACAGCGAAUACCUGUGAGUUUUGACGUUACCGACAGAAUAAGCACCGGCUAACUUCGUGCCAGCAGCCGCGGUAAUACGAAGGGUGCAAGCGUUAAUCGGAAUUACUGGGCGUAAAGCGGGCGUAGGUGGCUUGAUAAGUUGGAUGUGAAAUCCCCGGGCUCAACCUGGGAACUGCAUCCAAAACUGUCUGGCUAGAGUGUGGUAGAGGGUAGUGGAAUUUCCAGUGUAGCGGUGA
This 586-nucleotide ribosomal RNA is filed under the name uncultured bacterium. RNAcentral's name for it is "bacterial SSU rRNA". It matches the Rfam family "Bacterial small subunit ribosomal RNA", at positions 102 to 684 of the family's 1533-position model. The record is from RNAcentral.